Molecule: long non-coding RNA, 1252 nt
Filed under: Homo sapiens (human)
Lineage: Eukaryota; Metazoa; Chordata; Mammalia; Primates; Hominidae
Description: HSALNT0333654
Source: RNAcentral
GCAAGGAUGACUCACAAAAGACACAGCCGAAGCCAGUGCAUCAGGGCCCGUGGAGGCACGAAAGGGUUAGAUUGUCCCGUGCUUUCUGCCCCCACAGCGGAAGUGGAAGCUGUGGUUUCCAAAGGCCCUUCCUGAUCUGCAAUCUCUGAGAAAUCAACUAAAGAGAUAAAGUCAAAGGUUGGUUGGUGGUGUGCAGUGGGCGCGGGGGUGGAUCACAGGCAGGAGUUGGAAAAUUGAGGCCUGAUGCAAGCUCUAAGAUCCGCCCCCACCCACUCCUGAUCAUGAGUGAUAAGCACCCCACCACCCACUCUGCCACUUGGCCGGGAUUUCCCCGGAGCCUGUGAAGUAUUCCCAGGGCUGGGAUGUGACUUGGGAGGAGGUGGUAAUUGGCUCCUUUCUCCGCUCUGAGCUGGGCCUCCAGGAACUGCCUCCACCACGUCCCCCUUCCCCUCCAGGGGAGUUACUCAGCACAGUCUGACUGCUCCACCUGAACCCUCCUUAGCAUCACCCACUCACCUCACACUCCUGACCCAGGUGCUGCCUGCUCAUAGCCAGGGCACAGAGAUGAGGAGCAACUUCAUCCCAGUCUUCUACCCAGCCCCAAAGCUGAAUUCCGCAACAGGACCUGGUCCUGACCCUGCUCCCAUGAAGAGAUGCAAAAUCACACUAAAUCUUCAUGUUAAAUCAUCAUAUGUAUCAAAUGCCAACCAGUCAGUAAGCAGCCGAGGGCACGCUGUCCACAGCCCUACAGCUAGGCCUGUGCUGCUACCAGGGUGCAGAGGCAGGGGCCUUGAAGAAACAGCCCCAGCCCCUAGGAAUGCUAUUUGCUGUUGGAGACAACAAGUUCUUAAUAAAAGCCACAUCAACCCAGAAGACCUGAGUCAUCUGAGAGAGACCAUUUGCGCCUCUAAGCCUCAGUUUCUUCAAUUGUGAAAUGGUAAUGACAGCUAGUUUAGAAUUAAAUGAUGCCGUGUAUGAAAAAUAGAUGAGAGACUUAGAAGGAUCCCGUCCUUCCACAGAUACUUAUUCCUGGGCCAAUGCUCAGGAUAUAAAGAUAAAGUAAACAAACGUAACAGGCCUGAUCCCUGCCCUCAAGAGGUUCCUCAAGUUGCUGUUAUUGUUGACCCAAUGACAGCUAAAUAAAUGAAGGCCACUCAUAAAAAGCAAAUGGAGGCUCCGAUAGAGUGUGGCCGAUGGUAUUUUCCAAAGUUGGGUGCCCCUUUCCACUUGCUCUCCUUGUCCCAUGACUGAC